UACGGAGGGGGCUAGCGUUGUUCGGAAUGACUGGGCGUAAAGGGCGCGUAGGCGGCUAAGUAAGUGAGGUGUGAAAGCCCCGGGCUUAACCUGGGAAUAGCACUUCAUACUACAAAGCUAGAGGACGAGAGAGGAAAGUGGAAUUCCUAGUGUAGAGGUGAAAUUCGUAGAUAUUAGGAAGAACAUCAGUGGCGAAGGCGACUUUCUGGCUCGUAACUGACGCUGAGGCGCGAAAGCGUGGGGAGCAAACAGG
Molecule: ribosomal RNA, 253 nt
Filed under: uncultured bacterium
Lineage: Bacteria
Description: partial 16S ribosomal RNA
Rfam family: Bacterial small subunit ribosomal RNA
Source: RNAcentral